Molecule: ribosomal RNA, 253 nt
Filed under: uncultured bacterium
Lineage: Bacteria
Description: partial 16S ribosomal RNA
Rfam family: Bacterial small subunit ribosomal RNA
Source: RNAcentral
UACGUAGGGUGCAGGCGUUAAUCGGAAUUACUGGGCGUAAAGCGUGCGCAGGCGGUUUGCUAAGGCAGGUGUGAAAUCCCCGGGCUUAACCUGGGAACUGCGCUUGUUACUGGCAAGCUUGAGUGUGGCAGAGGGGGGUGGAAUUCCACGUGUAGCAGUGAAAUGCGUAGAGAUGUGGAGGAACACCGAUGGCGAAGGCAGCCCCCUGGGCUAACACUGACGCUCAUGCACGAAAGCGUGGGGAGCAAACAGG